RNAcentral lists this unclassified non-coding RNA (253 nucleotides) under uncultured Cytophagales bacterium. RNAcentral describes it as "contains 16S-23S intergenic spacer region". It matches the Rfam family "Bacterial small subunit ribosomal RNA", at positions 524 to 776 of the family's 1533-position model. Lineage: Bacteria; Pseudomonadati; Bacteroidota; Sphingobacteriia; Sphingobacteriales. The record is from RNAcentral.
UACGGAGGGUGCAAGCGUUGUCCGGAUUUAUUGGGUUUAAAGGGUGCGUAGGCGGCUAUUUAAGUCAGGGGUGAAAGUCUGCGGCUCAACCGUAGGAUUGCCUUUGAUACUGGAUAGCUUGAGUAUAGUUGAGGUAGGCGGAAUUGAUGGUGUAGCGGUGAAAUGCAUAGAUAUCAUCAAGAACACCGAUUGCGUAGGCAGCUUACUAAGCUAUAACUGACGCUGAGGCACGAAAGCGCGGGUAGCAAACAGG